This 1665-nucleotide long non-coding RNA is filed under the name Cicer arietinum (chickpea). Its description in RNAcentral is "long non-coding RNA (CARI_LNC001723)". The record is from RNAcentral. Lineage: Eukaryota; Viridiplantae; Streptophyta; Magnoliopsida; Fabales; Fabaceae.
ACCUCAUUUUUUUUUAUUCAUUCUUUUUUUCUUUCUUCUCUCUCUCCCUCUCAGCAGAGCACUCCCCCAUGCUUGUUGCUGUUUUUUUUUUCUUUCCAUUCUAUUUGCUUCUUCUCUCUCUAUAAUACUCAAACCCUCAGCCCCUUCGAAAUGAAUUUAACAUCCUUACAAGCAUAAUUGUUCAUACUCCUACAAAUUCUCUUGGUUAGGAUUUCCUACAAAUUCUCUUGAUUAUGAUUUUUGAGUUAGGGUUUGUGUUCUAGGGAAAAGGGUAUCAAUCUCCUAAGAGUUGUUUACUGAGAGUCAUUGAGGUAAAUGCACAACUCUAAUCGUAGUAUGAAUUCAUAGAAAAAUAUAGUUUUAUUUCAAAAUCUUAUUUUGUGCUUAGAGUAUAUAUAUUUAAAUGAUUUUAUGGUUUCUUAGAGUUAGCUAAACUUUAGAAUAAAUUUUUCUAAAGUCUUGGAAAUAUUUUUGAUACUCAAAUUUGUCAGCUGAGACCCUACCGGUUACUCUGAGAGUUGUUGGAGAGCAAAUUUAGAUGAUUCUCUGUAGUUGUGAGUUGAAGACGGUCAUCGUCAUAUUUUUUUUAUAAUGCUAUUAUUAUUAUUUUACUUGUUUUAUAUACUAAAGUAUUUAUUGAAAAAAUUGGGGAACACAACCUUUGAAAUUUAUCUCGGUUUCGUCAAUUAUUUAAUUUAAUGGUCGUUGUUAUAUAAUAUAUUAUUAGUUUGAUUUACGUAUAAGUUAAAGUAUUUAAAUAUUAAAUUGUUAUGUGAUUGAGUAUGUUUUCCAUGAAUUACGAUGAAAUGGUUUUAAAUAUGUGUUUAGAGAAAUCGUUGUCAUAAUUAUUAAAUCGUUAACUGCGUUAGGUGCACCUAGUUACCUCGUUUUGAUUAGAAAGAGUUACCCGUUAGAUGGAGCCGCCCCUAUGAAAAAUGUCAUUCGUAGGAGGAGAAGGCUAUAAACAAGAUGUAAGCUCCCUAAUUGAUAUGUGAUGAUGCCUUGCAGAAUUGAGAGGAAAGGGAUAUUCGUUAGAUGGAGCCACCCCUAAGAAAAAUGUCACCCUUAAGAGGAAAGGGCUAUCAAUGAGAUGAAGCUGCCUCUUGGUUCUAAAAAAAUUGUAUUGUUACUUGUUUGAUUUUUAUGAUGAUUUUAAGGUUGUUCAUUUUGAUUUCGCUUCAUUAUUAAUUGGAUUUUUAAUAUUUCUGUUCGAACGGUUAAAUUAUAAGUUUAAUGACUAUAUAUGUGUAUAUAUUUAAAUUUAGAAUUUUCUAGAUUUUUAAGUAAUAUUGUUUAACAUAAUUGCCGUCAAAUUGUAAAGCAGUUAUUCGCGUCUUUUGUGUUUCCCUUCAAAUUGAUGGUGGUUGUUGUCUCCUCACUAAGUCUUUGUGACUUACCCUUUUAUGUUGUUUAUUUUUUUCAGAUUCGCCGGCAGCUGAGUAGAACUAUGUUAGUAGAUUCGAUUCUCGACUAUAUUUAUUUUUUUAGUAGGCCUCUUUGAUCGAAGACCAUUUUUUUGUAACGUUUGUUUAGUCUGAUGUAAAUUGCAGCUAUUUUGAAGUCUACAAAGUCUAUUUUUAUUAGAAGUGUAUUAAGUAAAUGUGAUAAUGUUAUUUGAAUUAUGACUGAAAUAAUUAAUUACAUUUUAAACGUCAGUGUUAAAAC